Molecule: ribosomal RNA, 436 nt
Filed under: uncultured bacterium
Lineage: Bacteria
Description: partial 16S ribosomal RNA
Rfam family: Bacterial small subunit ribosomal RNA
Source: RNAcentral
AGCGAACGCUGGCGGCAGGCUUAACACAUGCAAGUCGAGCGGGCAUCCUUGUGGUGUCAGCGGCAGACGGGUGAGUAACGCGUGGGAACGUGCCCUUCGGUUCGGAAUAACUCAGGGAAACUUGAGCUAAUACCGGAUACGUGCGAGAGCAGAAAGGUUUAUCUGCCGAAGGAUCGGCCCGCGUCUGAUUAGCUAGUUGGUGAGGUUAUGGCUCACCAAGGCGACGAUCAGUAGCUGGUCUGAGAGGAUGAUCAGCCACACUGGGACUGAGACACGGCCCAGACUCCUACGGGAGGCAGCAGUGGGGAAUAUUGGACAAUGGGGGCAACCCUGAUCCAGCCAUGCCGCGUGAGUGAUGACGGCCUUAGGGUUGUAAAGCUCUUUUCGCCGGGACGAUAAUGACGGUACCGGAGGAAUAAGCCCCGGCUAACUCCGU